CCUCAGCCAGUCGCCGGACUGGUUUUUCCGGCGGCCGAUUUCCGGCCAAACUUUGACCUCCUUGUUCUCCUUCGUUUCUCAACCAAUUUCUUCGUAUUUUAUACCAAAUUGAAGCCCCAAACACGUAGAAUCACGAUAGACUAGUUUAAGGCUCUAAAAAUCAAGAAAUCUCACCGGAAAAAUCCCAAGAAAAUCGGCCAAAGUUGAACCACGUGAUCCCGACGUCCAAAACCUUCAAACGAAGCACUCCGAGCUUCCUUGGGACCUCACAAAGCUCACUACAAGCUUAGAAUUCCCUGAAAAUCAACAUUUUACGUUUGCAUGAACAGUGACCAAAAAUGGAGGUUCGGGUUUCACGUGAUUCCGAGGGUUUCACGUCCUAAAACUAGUAACAAUCGACUUAAAACAUCUCAAGGAUGAAGAUUCUUACCUUGGUUGCUUCGAUCCACUGCGUUUUUGGGUGAUUUUGGGUG
Molecule: long non-coding RNA, 473 nt
Filed under: Malus domestica (apple)
Lineage: Eukaryota; Viridiplantae; Streptophyta; Magnoliopsida; Rosales; Rosaceae
Description: long non-coding RNA (MDOM_LNC018831)
Source: RNAcentral